Camelus dromedarius (Arabian camel) is the source of this 90-nucleotide small nucleolar RNA. Its record names the gene SNORA72. It matches the Rfam family "Small nucleolar RNA SNORA72". Rfam says of the family: U72 is a member of the H/ACA class of snoRNAs. The snoRNA gene is located in intron 4 of the ribosomal L30 protein gene in human, mouse and chicken. The record is from Ensembl. Lineage: Eukaryota; Metazoa; Chordata; Mammalia; Artiodactyla; Camelidae.
AUAAGAAUAGAUCAUUAUAUUAAGCCCAUGCAUGUGCCCUCAGACCUGGUUCUUUCCCUAGGUUUGGUUUUAUAAAUGCUAGUGAUAAAC